RNAcentral lists this ribosomal RNA (301 nucleotides) under uncultured bacterium. RNAcentral's name for it is "partial 16S ribosomal RNA". It matches the Rfam family "Bacterial small subunit ribosomal RNA", at positions 509 to 807 of the family's 1533-position model. The record is from RNAcentral.
CAGUCGCCGCGGUAAUACGAAGGGUGCAAGCGUUAAUCGGAAUUACUGGGCGUAAAGCGUGCGUAGGCGGUGAGUUAAGUCUGCUGUGAAAUCCCCGGGCUCAACCUGGGAAUGGCAGUGGAUACUGGCUCGCUAGAGUGUGUCAGAGGAUGGUGGAAUUCCCGGUGUAGCGGUGAAAUGCGUAGAGAUCUGGAGGAAUACCGGUGGCGAAGGCGGCCCCCUGGACAAAGACUGACGCUCAGGUGCGAAAGCGUGGGGAGCAAACAGGAUUAGAUACCCGGGUAGUCCCUGUCUCUUAUAC